GGUGGUAGCUCAGUGGUAGAGUACUUGCCUAGCAUGUGUGAGGCACUGGGUUCGAUUCUCAGCACCA
This 67-nucleotide transfer RNA is filed under the name Marmota monax (woodchuck). It matches the Rfam family "tRNA". From Rfam's summary of the family: Transfer RNA (tRNA) molecules are approximately 80 nucleotides in length. Their secondary structure includes four short double-helical elements and three loops (D, anti-codon, and T loops). Lineage: Eukaryota; Metazoa; Chordata; Mammalia; Rodentia; Sciuridae. The record is from Rfam by way of RNAcentral.